AUGCUAAUUUCCUUCUUGCCUUCGGUGCCGCUGAUCGAGCUAACGCAGCAGGUUCUGAGCUGGGUGCACAGCAGGCUUCAGGGAUCCCAUUGCAGCCAGGAGAAAUCAGAGUUCAGCGCCGGCUCGAUUCGACCAGCUGCUGAUCACACUAGCAGUUCCAGUGGACCUCGUCGGGGCGACGGCAAGCCCGGCGCCGGCUGGCACCCGGCAACGCUCGUCAUUGCCAAAGGAGCGACCACCGCGGUGGAAGACGAAGGCAAGAGCCAUCAGCUGGCGCUGAAGAAUGGAGGAGUAGUCAGGCACAUGUCGUUCAGGAAAUUCAUGGCGUGUGCCUUCAGCGGCUUCCUGGCCAGACCAUGCUUCAGGGGAGCCAAGCCACGAUCUGCCGAGAUACCCUGGCAAUUGCCCCAUAACGACAUACCCAGCGAUUACUCGGCGAUGUCAGAGGCCGCGAUCAACAGCUACCGAACGUUGCAAUUGCCUUGGAGAGGCAAAGCGGUGGCGGCGGAACAAGGGAGCAGAUGGAUCACAACAGACUCGGAGUAUAUCGUGUUGGAGAUCUGA
RNAcentral lists this ribosomal RNA (564 nucleotides) under Triticum aestivum (bread wheat). RNAcentral's name for it is "partial small subunit ribosomal RNA". Lineage: Eukaryota; Viridiplantae; Streptophyta; Magnoliopsida; Poales; Poaceae. The record is from RNAcentral.